Molecule: long non-coding RNA, 1142 nt
Filed under: Gallus gallus (chicken)
Lineage: Eukaryota; Metazoa; Chordata; Aves; Galliformes; Phasianidae
Description: long non-coding RNA NONGGAT008414
Source: RNAcentral
UUAUUGUGAAGUCAUAUUUAGUGUUCUUGGGCUGUGCAGCAUUGAUAGGGCAGAGGGAAGGAGGUGCAUGUAGGCCACGUGUCACACGUUCAGCACAGAGCGUUUGGUGAAGCAUGCAGGCUGUGCUGUGUGAUGCUGUCAGCAGGACCUGGGGACAACGCUGGGCUGCCCUACCAGGCUGUGCUGGGUCUCAGUGCAGUGAUCCACCACGUGCUCUCAUUUCCCUAUGCCAGACCCCUUCUGACAUACUUUUCAAAGGAGCUGCAGACAGCCAGAUGGGAGGCGGCCAGGGCUGCGCCUGGAUAUCAGGAGGUUUCUUCAUUGUGUGCAUCCGGUGUGUCUGGAAAGAUGAAGGACCUUCAUUUUCUGCUCAUUCCAAAUAGUCAAUUCAAACUGUCAUCACCACCUGCACCACUUCAUCUUAUACUAGUUAAAGUUUGUGUUGUUCACACUCCUGGAGAAUCUGUUGCUGGGGAAUCUGAAAACACAUGGCAGGAGGUGCCUCCUAAUGAUGAAAGGACUUGAUGUAAAAUCUUUGAUUUUGAUUUUUUUGGGGACAACUUCAUUGCUUAGGACUAAUUCAGGACUAUGACUCUUUGUGCCAGCUCAAGACAAAAAAUGUAAGUCAAUAUGUUGGAAUUUCCUGCAGGUUGGAAAUUCUGUUUCUUUUCUCUCUCAUCUCUUCCUGGCAUCACCUCACCAACCUGACUAUCACAGCAUCCCAGCAACGGGACAAACAGAAAACAUGUUUGGCUGAGCAGGAAAAAGUCUCUAGGGCUGGUGUCUGGCAUAAGGAGACACCUUCAUGUGAGUGCUUGCGUCACAUUUCAGAGGAUGGAGAAGCUGUAGGCUUGCAGGAGUCAUGAUUUCAGGUGAAUUCCAGAGUAGAGUAUGCAGAAUUGACCCAGAAGUCCUGCUCUGUCAGAGAGAGGGGCCAUAAAACAGUACAGCAGCUAGAUGUCUGCACAGGACUUCUGCUGUAUCAAAAAAAAAGAGACUCAGCUGCAUUUCAAUUUUGAUGCUAAUCCAAAGGAGUGUCCAGGUUUCUUGGCUCCAGUACGUGGUUGGAGGGCAGAACAGUCUGUGCCUGUAUUACAGAUGAGGAACUGUAACAUGAAGGACUCCUCUACCCUGAAUAUGCA